Molecule: long non-coding RNA, 1936 nt
Organism: Artibeus jamaicensis (Jamaican fruit-eating bat)
Lineage: Eukaryota; Metazoa; Chordata; Mammalia; Chiroptera; Phyllostomidae
Exons: 3
Source: RefSeq, a predicted model, not a curated record
AGCUGAACGGGAGACCUCAGAAGGGAAACAGGGUGAGCAAGGCCGUCUGGAAGGGGAGAAAAGACCGUGGGGGAAGCUCUGGAAAACCCUCCCGAAAUGAGCUCCCUUGCUGCAAGUCCCCUCACGCCCCUGAAGCAGCUCCGUGUCCCUGUCCCCAGCUCCCCCUGACCUCACUAAGAGAGUGGAGGUAGGCUGUGACUGUGUCUGACAGCGAAACCCACUUCCUGACCCCUCCGUCACUGACUUUCCUCAAAAGAGAUCACUUUGAGUUUGGUGACUACGCAGUUGAUAUCUGGACUGAACCCUCUCCUCUCAUGCUGCUGCUUCAAGACAAGAUUGCACAACCCACAGGGCUCGUCAUCAUCGUCUUGAUAUCUGUGCAUCUAUGCAUCUUGUCUGUGUCCUAAGAGAAGCAAACCCAUCCAGUGGUGAAGGUCUCUGUGAGCGGUUUCAACUUUUUGCAUACGCUCCAGCCGCAGGCGCGUGCUGACUCAGGAGGCCUGGGAUGGGGCCUGAGCUUCUGCAUUUCUAACAGGUUCCCAGGUGAUGCCCAGGCUGCUGAUCUAAUGUCUAUACCUCAAGUAGCAAGGGGACUGUGGGAAGACAAGGAACUGAAGUGUCUGGAAGCAGGUUUAGGGACAGAGCCUCGUGAAAAGUGAAACUUGGCUCUCCUGCGGCAAUGUCUUCCGUGGAUUUCGAAGCCAUUUGCAAAACACCUUAGGGGCCAGUGUUUGCUUCUGAUUGCCUUUGUUCGUCAGCGGGCUUGGCGCUCUCUACCCACAUGCAGAACCGCUGAAGUCCACAGCUGUUUUGUUUGGACAGGCUGGUGGUGAAGUCUGAGCUUGCACACAAAGGGCUUAUCAUCAACACGAGCCUUUCCCUGACAGCUGUUUUCCUUCCCGGCCCCAGGACUCUGGCCAGAGGACAGGGAUAGGGCUUGCUGGAGGAAGAAGUGGGGGUAUCAGCAAGCUCUAUAGCUGCCUGGCUCAAGACCUGGGGGAGUCUCACGCCCACACACCAGAUUAGAGAGCAGGUUUGCACUUUGAUCCCUGCACCAGCACACGUAUGGAAUAAGUGGUUUGAUAAAUUCAUUGGUUUUGUAUGUAAGGGCUGGUGUAGAAGCAAGAACUACAUUAUUUCUUAUACUAAAACAAGGCAUUUCUCUAAAUUACAAUGAGUGAUUUCCAAGUCCCACUGCAAAACCUGCCGUGUGUGUAAAUAUGUGUGUCCAGGACUGAACAGCACACGUCCUGCCAGCACGAGGUGAGGCGUAUGAAAUCAGUACUAGGUAUGUGGGUGCCACACCUCCUAGAGCUCGUGAAAAUCAGGGUCCCUGUCAGUCAGCUGUGCACAAGGAGAGGAAGAGGCGCCUUCAGUGACUUCCUUGGAGAAGGAGUAUUUUGUGCUGGUGAACUGCUCCCCCUGGUGGACCAGGGAUUGAUAUGUCUGUUCUGGGGGAACAUACAGGCUCCUGCUGGGGAGGAAACUGGGCGGCUUCAGGCAGACAAAUGGACCCUCCAGGAAAAAAGCUAACCCUCUGAGCACCAGAAAUAAGUUGAACCCCUAGCCCAGCCCCUGGAUGAUUUUGCGCAUCGCCGUCCCGCAAAGCACAGAGGCCAGUCUUGCCACACUCUCCUUGCCGCGUGGGUUCUCAUGAUCACGGCUGUUUUGAAAUUGUGGAUCUGUGUGCAUAGGAGAGACAUGGAAAACUCCAAGUUCUGUAUCUUACUGUAUUCACCUUUAAAAAGCAUUCUGGACACUCACACAGGGAAAAGGGCCCCCGAAGAGAGGAACAUUCCACCGUGUACUCAUUUGUUUCCCCUACUUCCUGUUUACUGCGCUCCUCUCUGCCAGGGGUUCAUGCUGCUGGUGGUUAAUUUAUGCCUAGAUGCCUUGUUCCACAUGCAUGCUCUCAAGAUAAAAGUAUGUUUUCUGA